Molecule: ribosomal RNA, 465 nt
Filed under: Vreelandella stevensii
Lineage: Bacteria; Pseudomonadati; Pseudomonadota; Gammaproteobacteria; Oceanospirillales; Halomonadaceae
Description: partial 16S ribosomal RNA
Rfam family: Bacterial small subunit ribosomal RNA
Source: RNAcentral
CCUACGGGGCGCUGCAGUGGGGAAUAUUGGACAAUGGGCGAAAGCCUGAUCCAGCCAUGCCGCGUGUGUGAAGAAGGCCUUCGGGUUGUAAAGCACUUUCAGUGGGGAAGAAAGCCUUGGGGCUAAUACCCUCGAGGAAGGACAUCACCCACAGAAGAAGCACCGGCUAACUCCGUGCCAGCAGCCGCGGUAAUACGGAGGGUGCGAGCGUUAAUCGGAAUUACUGGGCGUAAAGCGCGCGUAGGCGGUCUGAUAAGCCGGUUGUGAAAGCCCCGGGCUCACCCUGGGAACGGCAUCCGGAACUGUCAGGCUAGAGUGCAGGAGAGGAAGGUAGAAUUCCCGGUGUAGCGGUGAAAUGCGUAGAGAUCGGGAGGAAUACCAGUGGCGAAGGCGGCCUUCUGGACUGACACUGACGCUGAGGUGCGAAAGCGUGGGUAGCAAACAGGAUUAGAUACCCGAGUAGUC